GAGUGGCUCAGUGGUGGAGCGUCUCCUUGCCAAGGAGAAGGUCGCGGGUUCGACUCCCGUCUCG
Molecule: transfer RNA, 64 nt
Filed under: uncultured Butyrivibrio sp.
Lineage: Bacteria; Bacillati; Bacillota; Clostridia; Lachnospirales; Lachnospiraceae
Rfam family: tRNA
About the family: Transfer RNA (tRNA) molecules are approximately 80 nucleotides in length. Their secondary structure includes four short double-helical elements and three loops (D, anti-codon, and T loops).
Source: RNAcentral